UUUUUGGGCAAAUCCAAAAUGCUGAGGAAAAGAAACCAACAGGGAUUGCCUUAGUAGCGGCGAGUGAGCGGCAAAAGCUCAAAUUUGAAAUCUGGCUCUUUCAGAGUCCGAGUUGUAAUUUGAAGAAGGUAUCUUUGGGUCUGGCUCUUGUCUAUGUUUCUUGGAACAGAACGUCACAGAGGGUGAGAAUCCCGUGCGAUGAGAUGAUCCAGGCCUAUGUAAAGUUCCUUCGAAGAGUCGAGUUGUUUGGGAAUGCAGCUCUAAGUGGGUGGUAAAUUCCAUCUAAAGCUAAAUAUUGGCGAGAGACCGAUAGCGAACAAGUACAGUGAUGGAAAGAUGAAAAGAACUUUGAAAAGAGAGUGAAAAAGUACGUGAAAUUGUUGAAAGGGAAGGGCUUGAGAUCAGACUUGGUAUUUUGUAUGUUACUUCUUCGGGGGUGGCCUCUACAGUUUAUCGGGCCAGCAUCAGUUUGGGCGGUAGGAGAAUUGCGUUGGAAUGUGGCACGGCUUCGGUUGUGUGUUAUAGCCUUCGUCGAUACUGCCAGCCUAGACUGAGGACUGCGGUUUAUACCUAGGAUGUGGCAAAUAACCUUAAGUCGACCGUCAUGACACCGAGCACCCCAAA
Molecule: ribosomal RNA, 624 nt
Filed under: Candida sp. SS-2018a
Lineage: Eukaryota; Fungi; Ascomycota; Pichiomycetes; Serinales; Debaryomycetaceae
Description: LSU rRNA
Rfam family: Eukaryotic large subunit ribosomal RNA
Source: RNAcentral